Molecule: long non-coding RNA, 880 nt
Organism: Gadus chalcogrammus (walleye pollock)
Lineage: Eukaryota; Metazoa; Chordata; Actinopteri; Gadiformes; Gadidae
Exons: 3
Source: RefSeq, a predicted model, not a curated record
CCUAGCUUACCACUCAGUUUUCCAAUUCAUAGUGCAAGGUCGUAAUAAAGUUGUGAGAAACACAAGUUUGUUCGCGAGUUUAUGUGGGUACUGGGGCUACUGCAGUAACGGAUGGCCAACAAAACCACCCAGCACAACUCUGGAAGAGAGAGGAGGUGCUGAUUGAGAAGUAUGCUGCUACUUUUGUAGACGAAAAGCUGGUGCAUUUUAUAUUAUGUCAUCAAAGAAUGCUGAAAUCAUAACAGCAUUGCUUGGAACGUAUAGUUAAGUUCGACCCACAUGUUAUGCGGUAACCAAAGGCUUCGAAGCAGCUCACAGGUACGGCUGUGAUCUUCAACAGGUAUAGGUUGGGAUCUUUUACAAUUUGUAGUUGCAUACUUUAUUUGCCCUGACGUUGAUACUAAUGACAACGUUUCAGUUUAACGGCUCACUGUUCUUCAGGAUCUAGGAUGCACUCUGUCCUGUUGUUUGCGGCGGCUUGGGUUGCCUGCCUUGCAAAACUUCUGGAUGAGAACAUGACUGGAUCCUGGAGACUAUUUCUGCUCUGUAGUCUCCUGCAAGGUGCUGGGUGCAACGCUGCAGAAUUUGAGGCCCUAGUGCCAGCAAGUCUUACGACACUCAUUGGAUCCUGUGCUACCGUUCCUUGUUCCUUCACCGUGCCGGACCAGUAUAAAGUCAAUCUACAUCCUGGAUGUAUACCAACAUGGAAAAAAGAUCAAAUAACUAUCAGUGCUACAACAUUCAGGGGAAAUCUAACAGCGUACAACUGUACUACAACAUUCAAUAACGUACUUGAAGACAAUGUUCAAUAUUAUUUUAGAAUUGACUGUGGAAAUCCAUUAAAAUAUAAUUUUGCUAAAAACCCAGUGACCAUCAGGAU